CAGUUACUUCGAGUGAAGGGGGCAAGCUCAAAUUUAAAUCCGUUGGGUUUACCUUACCGAGUUGUAAUUUGAAGAGGCGUUUUCUGCGUUUUUGAUCAGUCCAAGUCCUUUGGGAUAAGGCAUCAUGGAGGGUGAGAAUCCCGUCCGGGUGAUUCGAUUCGCUUUACGAUACGUCAUCUAAGAGUCAAGUUGUUUGGGAUUGCAGCUUAAAAUGGGAGGUAAAUUUCUCCUAAGGCUAAAUAAUGGCGAGAGACCGAUAGCGAACAAGUACCGUGAGGGAAAGAUGAAAAGAACUUUGAAAAGAGAGUUAAACAGUACGUGAAAUUGUUGAAAGGGAAACGAUUGAAGCCCGUUGUACCGGCGGGUAAUCAGCCUUUUGGGUGGGAUUUUGUGGAGUGUGAGGAGGUAAACCCCUUCAUGCCUGCAUAUUUUUGCACUUUGGGUGUACUUGGCCGUGUGGUAAGUUAACCUCAAUUUUGGUCGUCAUAAAAUGGCUGGGGGAAAGUAGGUUUGGUUUUGUAAUGAAGUGUUAUUGGCUCCGGUAGAUGUGAUGAUCGGGAUUGAGGAUUGCAACGGAUACCCUUCGGGGCUACCCGCCUGAUCUCUGAAAGUUGCUCUGGUGCCGAAAGCGUGCUUACGGUCAUCAAAGUUGACGUC
This 657-nucleotide ribosomal RNA is filed under the name Glomus sp. CMCCROC5. RNAcentral describes it as "eukaryotic LSU rRNA". It matches the Rfam family "Eukaryotic large subunit ribosomal RNA", at positions 81 to 615 of the family's 3401-position model. The record is from RNAcentral. Lineage: Eukaryota; Fungi; Glomeromycota; Glomeromycetes; Glomerales; Glomeraceae.